AUGCCUCUCUCCGCCGCCGGCUCCAUGCCCUCUUGCUCUCUCUCUGGUUGGCCGCCUCUCUCCAACAUCCCUGGCCUAACCUCCCCAUCUCCACCGUACAGCUCACGAAGACACACGCAGUGGCAGGUUUGGAUUGGGGCAGCGUGCGCCUGGUCAAGGGCAUCCCUCUCUGUCUUUGGCUGGGCAGGGGCACCGAAGCGGCUGAGGAUGGAAAAUGGUAAGCGCAAGCGGAAAGCUAAAGAUGGUGGGGUCACGGAGGAACAACUGAAAGUGGUAGAGUAUAAACUACAGAGAAGUAGGACCAUAGAAGAAAAUGAAGUAAGUCAUUCUGCUAAAUCAAAACUGUAG
This 348-nucleotide ribosomal RNA is filed under the name Triticum aestivum (bread wheat). RNAcentral describes it as "partial small subunit ribosomal RNA". The record is from RNAcentral. Lineage: Eukaryota; Viridiplantae; Streptophyta; Magnoliopsida; Poales; Poaceae.